RNAcentral lists this ribosomal RNA (435 nucleotides) under uncultured bacterium. RNAcentral's name for it is "bacterial SSU rRNA". It matches the Rfam family "Bacterial small subunit ribosomal RNA", at positions 29 to 513 of the family's 1533-position model. The record is from RNAcentral.
AACGAACGCUGGCGGCAGGCUUAACACAUGCAAGUCGAACGGGUGUAGCAAUACAUCAGUGGCAGACGGGUGAGUAACACGUGGGAACCUUCCUAGAGGUACGGAACAACUCAGGGAAACUUGAGCUAAUACCGUAUACGCUCUUGCGAGGAAAGAUUUAUCGCCUUUAGACGGGCCCGCGUCGGAUUAGCUAGUUGGUGGGGUAACGGCCUACCAAGGCGACGAUCCGUAGCUGAUCUGAGAGGAUGAUCAGCCACACUGGGACUGAGACACGGCCCAGACUCCUACGGGAGGCAGCAGUGGGGAAUCUUGGACAAUGGGCGCAAGCCUGAUCCAGCCAUGCCGCGUGAGUGAAGAAGGCCUGGUUGUAAGCUCUUUGCCAGGGACGAUAAUGACGGUACCUGGAGAAUAAGCCCGGCAACUUACGUGCCAGCA